CACCGUUAUGAAGUGUACCUCCUCACCCGAGGUGUACUGAAGGCAUAACUUAAGGUUCGUUGUACCGUCUCUUCGGCCCCAUUAAUUAGCUGCUGUAACUCUUUCAUUCAUUCCUUUUGCUUCACCUCCUCUUUCUUUCUUCCUUCCAUCUUACUUUUUUCCUGCUUUUUGAGGUUUUCCUCUCGUUACGCCUUUCAGACCUUUUACUCUCAAUUUUCCUUUCAGCGCUGAAUGACCUCAUGGGUCCCAGCCUAAAUUGUUUAUAAUAUGCUGUUGUUCCGAAGCUUAUUUACUCGAGGAAUUGACCGGUACAAGGGUACAAUUCUUUCGUAGUUUGAGGCUUAUCUAUGAUUAUUUAUAUCAAACAUUUCAUUUUAUUUGAUUUGAUUAAUGUAAACAAUAUUUUGUUUACAGACGAAUGUCCACUUUAGUUGCCAUUUCGAAUCAAGUCAUGUCGUUGCAGUACAUCCACAAAGACAGUUGAUACAACUCCUUUUAUUAUUAUUAUUAUUAUUAUUAUUAUUAUUAUUAUUAUUAUUAUUAUUAUUAUUAUUAUUAUUAUUAUUAUUAUUAUUAUUAUUCCAGUCAUUCGAUUACUGAAUAAGACAGAAAAAACGCUAAAUCCAAAUUGAGAAUUGAAUCAAUUUUACCCAGUCCCUUAACAGAGAGAGAGAGAGAGAGAGAGAGAGAGAGAGAGAGAGAGAGAGAGAGAGAAUGUCCCUCAGUAAAGCGGAAAUCCAGUAUAAGCGGUCUAUCAGCGCAAAAUCAUUGUUUUGUGAAAGAAUCGAUCGGCCUUUCAUAACCAUUUGGAAAGCUAAAACAAGCGUGUUGAUAUAGUACUUGUUUUGUAGUCAGUUGAUCUCAAUAAUCAGUAAGUGAAUAAGUAAAUCGAGAAACCAAUUAGUAAACCAAUGACACACACUUUUGAGAUUCAUAAUUGUAACAUCAACCCUGUAUAUCUGAGGUAGCUUUUGUUUUAUAGGAAUUAUUUUGACGUAAUGUCGAGUAAUUCAAAUCUGUGAUUGAGUAAUUAAGAGAAUUUCAAAACGAACUAGAGAUCUAAAUGAUGUAGACUUCGAUUCAGCUGAAAUAGAUUCAUUUUCUUAUUUGCGUCGGUUAAGUGCCUAUCAAUAUGACGCAAAGACGACAUUUUCUAUAACAAAACUCGUAACUGUUUGAAGAAAUCAGUUUUAGCGUUCAAAAUUGCUUGUGUGGAGACGAACUGCUUUUGUAUCCAAUCGACUUUAUGGGCGUAUUGAAACAAACUUUUAACGACUUUUGUUUGAGCCAAAACGACUUAAGAGGAGGAGGAACCACUAGGAACCACUAGAAACCACCUGGAAUCACUAAGAACUCCCUGGAACCACCUGGAGCCACCUGGAGCCUAAAUGCGUCAGCUGACGUCAAGGUUAAUUGCUAUUCAACACUCAUGGCAGGAGUCGACGACUGAACUCGGUCUCUUGGCGUUUCGUGGGUGACUGGUCCCGUCUAAUCCACGACGAAACAGCUUCUAGUUUAACCUUUCUAUGCCAAUAUCAAAAUGUGGCCAAUUACUCCUGAUGUGCUGGUGCUACUGAGAAAUUGCUGUUUGACUGUUAAAACGGCCUUUGACCUCAGCAUAAGAAACUGUGAGCUAAAUAAGAAAUGGUUCCACUGAUCUAUACGGAUUUUAUGUGUAGCACCUUCAGACUGUUUAAGACCAGACACUUUCCACGUAGCCAACGAAGGUAUAUUUGAGAAGCUGGGAUCACUCACUGGCAGACAGGAAUUGAAGCUCCAGCCCAUCAGAUGAAGAAAAAUUGUACUCGUUUAAAAAUCACAAGAAUUUUUUAACAGAGACCGUAUUUCGCCAGGUAACAUCAGCGAUGCCAUAAACAGCCUACCUAAUAAUAAAUCGCCCGGCUGUGAUGGUCUUCCUGCAGAGGCCUUCAAACUCUGCCAUCCGAUAAUUUACAUUUUGCUAGCUGCCCUAUUCAAUGCGUGCAUAAUUCACCGGUUUCUUCCAGACUCCCUACUCUUAGUUCACUUGAUACCAUUAAUCAAAAACAAGCUAAAGGAUGCAGCUGACCCUGGCAACUACCGGCCGAUUGCAAUCACAACGAUCGCAUCGAAGAUACUUGAGUCUGUUCUUCUAGUGAGACUUCUCCCCUUUCUUCACACCACUGACAACCAGUUCGGGUUUAAAGCAAACCACUCAACCGACACCUGCAUCUACAUACUGAAAGAAUUGCUGAACUACUACCUAUCAUCAGCCUCUCCUGUUUUCCUUUGUUUUGUAGAUGUGAGAAAAGCAUUUGACAGAGUAAAUUACCUGAAGCUCUUCCUGAAGCUGCAUAAAAGGGGCACACCCCUGUAUCUAAUUGGCAUUUUACAUUGCUGGUUCUCCACACAGCAAUUCUGUCAAAUGGGGUAACGUAUUAUCUUACACCUUCGGCUCCCUAAACGGGCUUCGGCAAGGGGGCAUUCUCUCUCCAUACUUGUUUAAUACGUACACAGAUGCCUUGAAUGUCAAACUGAACUCACUCCCAAUCGGAUGCACCGUCAAUGAAACAACUAUAAACAACCUCUGUUACGCCGACGAUAUGGUUCUGAUUUCCCCAUCAGUGCAAUGACAUUCUGAGACGCCUCACAAACACUCCCCGCUACCACUCCGCCACACAGAUGUUCAUAGAAAACCACCUGGACAAUUUAAUUAAAAAUCAUUGUUAGGCGAACAAUGUCCAGUCUGGUAACCCGAGUGAGAAACAGCAGCAACUCGCUCAUACAAAGCAUCCUAAGGAGUGAAGCAAGAAGAAGAUCUAAAUUGUGGGAAAGAUGGGAAAGGGAGGCCUUUGUCCCCUAAAGGACUUAAUCUCUGUACUGGCAAGAUGUCAUCUCCAGUUUUUGUCAUUAUUACAUUUAUUGCUGAUAUUUUAAUUUUUCAUUAUUACUGUGAUUACUAUCAAGUUAAAGUUUUAUUUACAUUUAAUUUAUGUAUUAAGCCCUCUGGACCUGACUACUGUAACCACCUAAGGUCUCUAGUUGAAAUUUGAGUUAUAUAAUAUGUGCACCAACUGUUAUUACUCUCAAUGCAUAUUUUUUUUUCUCACCAAUAUUAUUACUUAUUACCAGUAUGAUGAUUACUAGCUUUUAUGCUACCUCAGCUAUUUUGUGGAUAAGUGCCGAUUAUUCAUUUUCUUUUUCUAUUUUAUCAUGUCUCAUGUAUCAAGAUUGUGUAUGUAACUGUCUGUAUUUUGUAUAUUCAAUGUAUAUGGCCCCGAGCCGAAAUAAAGCAUAUUAUUAUUAUUAUUUUUAUUAUUAUUAUUAUUAUUAUUAUUACAACAUCUCUCGUAAGAAAAGAAAAAGAAAAAGGGAGAAAAAACAUAAGAUAACAACAAUAAUAAGUGAACUUUCCCCCAUUACACAGCGCACAUAAGAGAAAAAGAAACAUAUGUAAUUCAAUAUCUUUCCCAAAACGGAAUGUGUACCGUUACGGGAUCUGCUACCGCAACAAUCCCAUCGACCAGAAACGACCAGAAAAGAAUCCCCUUACAUGAUACACUCCCGUGGAAUGCCAUAAUCAGCAUCUACAAGAAUAGUGCAAAUCUCCGAGUAAUCAACUCCAAAGGGGAAAAUCCGCAACUGGAUUCAUUACAGCAACAUUAGCAAAAAAAUCAACCUGUGAACAUCUCAGGUGCUUCGAACUGCAGCAUAGUCAGACUCGCAACGCCAGAAACUCAUGAUUCUCAAAAAAAUGUUCUAUACUGAAACUACAUCAGCACAUUUCACAGAACUAUCUCUAGGAUAUGACCUAGGUGCUCCAAAGUUAUCUCGAAGACAUAAUUCACCCAAACGAUACUACCCAAUUAUAUAAAAAAUUAUCACCUA
Long non-coding RNA from Macrobrachium nipponense, 3867 nucleotides. RefSeq lists it as uncharacterized. The record is from RefSeq and is a predicted model, not a curated record. NCBI's taxonomy places the organism in Eukaryota, Metazoa, Arthropoda, Malacostraca, Decapoda, Palaemonidae. The transcript is spliced from 6 exons.